Lonchura striata (white-rumped munia) is the source of this 1745-nucleotide long non-coding RNA. The record is from Ensembl. NCBI's taxonomy places the organism in Eukaryota, Metazoa, Chordata, Aves, Passeriformes, Estrildidae.
UUAAGUGUUUUUUCUUUAGGGAAGAGUUUGUCUGUCCUGUUUACAUAAUGACUAAAUCAAAAAUGUUCUUUUUUUUUAGCUAUAGUUAAAGUUUAAUUAACCCAGACUCUGAUGCAAUAAUUUUAUAAUUGUUUCAGUGCAAUCAGUUUGGUUUACAGAACUGGUAUUGCUUUUGACCUCCAUACAGAAGUACUGUUGUCCUGAAAUAGUGUUGUUUACUGCUCUGUGGAGUCUGACCCUGCACUGUAGGAUGCAUAGGAUUGAAUAAUGGCCCCAGGCAGGAACAUCACGGCAGUAUCAUCUCCCAUUGAAGGAGUGGACAUCAUCUCAGCCACCAACACAGCAGCUCUCCUUCUCCAGCAAGGGCAGAGGUCCACAAGGCAACACAGUGAGAGGCCAGCAACUCUUCCCUCAUGGCCUCAGCUUGGAGCUUUAAUCUAAAGUGUUAAGGAGAAAAUGCUGGGUCCUGUCAUGGACAUGCAUCCGGAACAAGACCGUGCCUGUGGGGAUGUCCUGAGACUGUCUGGAAGAUCAGGAACCAGUGACCAUCAAGGAUCCCUUUCGCUUAGGAAAAAAUCCAAAUGUAAUUAACCAUGUGGAAAGAAUCCAAAUGCAGUAAAUGCCUCAGCCUCCUCCCCUCAAACUAAGUUCAUGCAGUGCUGUGUGGGCAGCAGGAUAGCAGGUGGCUGGUUUACUUUGUGUGUUUUGAAAUUGUUUGUUGCUUAUUGUGGUGAGAGCAAAGGUGGGGCAGUGGGACUGGCACCACUGCACUUCACCAAAUUAUCCAAAAAAUGACACUAUUGAAGAAGAGCUUCCGUGGCACAGAAGUGUGUAUGUAUUCACCCAAAGUGUGCUUUGUGCCAGCUCUGGCUUUAAUGCAAGGCUGCCUUUUAUUUGUUGCAGUUAAUAUUUUGGCAAAUCAUUUUUACUUUGGAGUGGAAAUUAUUCCCUAGCAUUUUAUUCAGAGUGAAGUUAAUAGAUUUAUGAUGUUUUGUAUUGCUUUUGUGGUUUCUUUUGUUUACUAAUUACUUCCUUCUUAUGAGCUGUUUGGUUUUCUUUUGGAAAAAUCAGCUCAUUUAGCUUUAGUGUAUCUAGAAGUUUAAGUCCUCAGUGUUCAUUUCUAUCUGGGUUUGUGCAAUCAGCAGUAUCUGCUUUCAGGGAUUUCAAGUUUUAUUUUUCAGCAAAAGCUUUGAUUUCAAGUUCAAAGGAAUAUGCUUGGGUUUGAUAUGAACUUUGUGUAUAUAGUUAAAUUAAAAAAAAAAUUAUUGGAAAUUAAAAUAGAAUUAUGAAUAAUUUUCAGAAGUUAUCCUCAAAGUGCAGCCAGGAAUGAACUCUUUUAAAGGAAAGUCCAGGGAUGACUUGUCCACCAGGCUUGAAGAAUCAGAUUUUUGUGUUUAAUUUAUAAGUUUAUUGUUAUUUGUCAACUAAAAUGCUUUAUAAAACAGUCUUAAAAUAAUCUCUCAUUUUUAAUAUCUUAGAUUAAAAGAGAUACUUAUGUAUUUAGAUAAACACCAUUUUUUAAGAAAUUCAUUAUAGUUUAAGUGUUUGAUGUUUUAGUUCCUUUUAAUCACUGUAUGGUAUUUGCAGCCUGUCUGGAAGCAUUACUCAACACAAUUUAGUUAAGGCUUAUGCCAGCUACCAGUCUAAAUAUAUAAAUUGUGACUUGUUUUAACAUAAGGAACUCUUCCUCUGAACAGAAAUGUAUUGAAAAGCUAAAUAAAAUUGAUUUUUUUUUUAAUCUACCA